AUGCUGGGUACAGGCGCAUGCUGGGUACAGGUGCGUGCUGGGUACAGGCGCGUGCUGGGUACAGGUGCAUGCUGGGUACAGGCAUGUGCUGGGUACAGGCACGUGCUGGGUACAGGUGCAUGCUGGGUACAGGCACGUGCUGGGUACAGGCGCGUGCUGGGUACAGGCACGUGCUGGGUACAGGUGCAUGCUGGAUACAGGCGCAUGCUGGGUACAGGUGCAUGCUGGGUACAGGCACGUGCUGGGUACAGGCGCGUGCUGGGUACAGGCGCGUGCUGGGUACAGGUGCGUGCUGGGUACAGGUGCAUGCUGGGUACAGGUGCGUGUUGGGUACAGGCAUGUGCUGGGUACAGGUGCAUGCUGGGUAGAGGAACGUGCUGGGCACAGGUGCAUGCUGGGUACAGGUGCAUGCUGAGUACAGGUGCGUGCUGGGUACAGGCACGUGCUGGGUACAGGUGCAUGCUGGGUAGAGGAACGUGCUGGGCACAGGUGCAUGCUGGGUACAGGCGUGUGCUGGGUACAGGCAUGUGCUGGGUACAGGUGCAUGCUGGGUACAGGCACGUGCUGGGUACAGGCACAUGCUGGGUAGAGGAACGUGCUGGGCACAGGUGCAUGCUGGGUACAGGUGCAUGCUGGGUACAGGCAUGUGCUGGGUACAGGCGCAUGCUGGGUACAGGCGCAUGCUGGGUACAGGCGCAUGCUGGGUACAGGUGCAUGCUGGGUACAGGCGCAUGCUGGGUACAGGUGCAUGCUGGGUACAGGCGCGUGCUGGGUACAGGCAUGUGCUGGGUACAGGCGCGUGCUGGGUACAGGCGCAUGCUGGGUACAGGCGCAUGCUGGGUACAGGCAUGUGGGUACAGGCGCAUGCUGGGUACAGGCGCAUGGUCGUUAAGGCAUGUGCUGGGUACAGGCACAUGCUGGGUACAGGCGCAUGCAGGCACAGGCGCGUGCUGGGUACAGGUGCAUGCUGGGUACAGGCGCGUGCUGGGUACAGGCGCAUGCUGGGUACAGGCGCGUGCUGGGUACAGGUGCAUGCUGGGUACAGGCGCGUGCUGGGUACAGGCGCAUGCUGGGUACAGGUGCAUGCUGGGUACAGGCAUGUGCUGGGUACAGGCGCAUGCAGGCACAGGUGCAUGCAGGCACAGGCACGUGCUGGGUACAGGUGCAUGCUGGGUACAGGCAUGUGCUGGGUACAGGUGCAUGCUGGGUACAGGCGCUUGCUGGGUACAGGCAUGUGCUGGGUACAGGCGCGUGCUGGGUACAGGUGCAUGCUGGGUACAGGCAUGUGCUGGGUACAGGCGCAUGGUGCUGGGCAGCUGGUCUACACCUGAACUGGUGAUCUGGACAGGAACAACCAGGAGAGCUCCCCCCACACCACUACAGAGGUCUGCUGGGGAGUUUAGAGCCCCACCGGCCCCCAGCCCAGACGCUCCACCCCUCCCCCUCCUCCCCACUGCUUUCCCAACCCUCCGCCCUGACUCCCUGAGCCUGCGGACAAUGCAGAGCCGCGGGACCAAGGCCUCUGGUUCACAAAGCAAACUUGCUCAGGGAGUAGCAGAGGGUGAAGCAGUGCCACCCGCGUCGUGGUUAAGCCAACGCUUGCGAUGCCCGCACCCAUACCAGAGUGCCAGUUUAAGUCCUGGUUCCUCUUCCAAUCCAGCUCCCUGCUAA
This is a long non-coding RNA of Oryctolagus cuniculus (rabbit), 1671 nucleotides long. The record is from Ensembl. NCBI's taxonomy places the organism in Eukaryota, Metazoa, Chordata, Mammalia, Lagomorpha, Leporidae.